CAUCCCCAACAACCGCGGCCACAAAAAAACCCCAUCAACAUAUCACCCUUAUUUCCCCAUCAAACGACCGAUUCUUCAUCCUUCUCUGUCCCUUCUUGCCAACAUCAUUCUCUUAUUUCACCAUUGUCACGCUGCCCAGAAUAACACCAAACCCCGUCCCAGUUACAUUCUCAACCACUAUGCACCACUUCUGCCUGCGUACUUUUUUUAACUUACAGGGUAACCGGUUUCUUCGUCGACUUAUUCUCAUUUUUCACCUCUGAACAUUUGUUUCACUCUUUUGCACCUAAAGCUAAGCGGAAGAAGAAAACUCGUACAGAGGCGAAGCCAGGAUUCGAAGCUUGUUGGUUCGGGGUUUUAAUUCUUUAAAGUUACUGGGUUCUUAAUUAAUAAUUUGUACAUAUUUGACAAAAAUUUUAAUACAAAUAUAUGGCUCGGACAAAAGCUACUGGGUUCGGCCGAACCCCCACCCGAAGGGCUGGCUCCGCCCGUGAACUCGUAGCCAUAGGCUCCACUCCCAUUGUCAUCAUCUGCUUUGUGAUUUUGAGUAUGUUUCCAAUUUCGGUGCGCAGUGCCGCCUAAGGCAUAGAGAAAAAUCAACAGAAGAGAAGUUUACCCCAAUCUAUGUAUUCUAAUUACUGAUGCAGGACAUGACGCCAGACCACAUCCUACUCAGUUUUCCGCCUUCUGAAAUUAAUUAUUUUUGUCUACAUGAUAACCGGGACUACAAGAGUUGAGGAUAACUAUUAGAAGUCUACUUGCUUGUAUUGUUGAUCCAAAAUCCCUUUUACUUAUUCAAAUCGGUGGUUAUACAUUGUGACAACUUAAAGUUAAUUAAUUGAUUUAUCUGUAUCUCAUGCUUUCUUCAUCCUUCACUUUCAACUUAGAUAAUCAUGAAUUCUUACCGGAACUAAAAAGUAAUUUUGUUUCAGGGGUUAAUUGCAGUUUGUUUUCCUGGUACAAUUAGUAACUAACAAAAAGUAUAGUGAUCUGUCAGGACCGAUUAAUAGAGAGAAUACGUGAGUUUUGCAGGCUUAGUUUUGAGUCUUUAUUCAGAAGAUGAGAGAUUGAUAGUUGUGAAACAGUGAAUGAAUAGGAAAUAUCGGCUGAAACUUGAAACAAAAGAUGAGGAAGAUGAAUUGCCCACACUGUACACGACACCAGUGGCUGCUUCUGCUCCUGUUAAGGAUGAGACUGAGAAUAAUGUUGCCAUACUAGCCUAAGGUUGAAGAAGCAUCAAGAAUAACAACUUAAGUUAAAGGCUUAAUAUGACAGUAAAUAAUGAACAAAUCAAUUUGGCUGGGGAAUUCUUUCUCUAUAUGUAAUAAUUUUUCUUAUAAUCUUUUUUAUUGUGUGCUUUUUCCCUCUUUCGCUUAAAGUAGACAAAAGCUGGAUGAAUUAUUAUUCAUAGUUCUUCUUCUUUCUUCCUUAUCCGUUGUAAGUUUGUGUGCAAUUUCUCAAGCCAGUGUUCCUCCUGAUUCCUCAAAGCCUUUUUCAUUAGUACAAUACAAUAUAUGUUUCCUCCUUUUUCAUUAUUUCUCUUAAUUGCUAUUUAUAGUAUUAUUGUUUAUUUAGUAUGAUAAUACAGAGGCGUUUCAUUAAGAUGAGCCUAGAUGUGAUAAUCUUAUGUUUUGACUUUCACUUUUAAGUGAGUAAGGAUACAAAUUUAACUGAUAUACAUGAUAGUGUAAAAGUUUUUUGUUGUUAAUAUAGUUUUUCCAGUUGUGUUAUACAAUUUACCCUUUAUGAUAGUUCAUGGUAGAAUCAUGAAGAGAUUGUAGUUGAUAAAGAUUGUUAGUAAUGCGAAUUAAUUAUUUACCCAUAUUUUUGUUUUUGUUAUCAGUACGGAUUGCGAAAUCUCCUUAAAUAGCCCCAUGUAAAGCAUAUACUCAACUACCUAUCAUAAUAUUCCCGCCGUAAACAAACAACUACCACCAGAAUUUAUGGCGGCCCCGUCACAGAACAAUGGUCGCUCUAUCUAAUAGUAACCAAAUAUUGCUCUCUCUUCCACUGUCUUCCUCUCAAUCUGCAACUCCUCGAGUAUUUAACCACCUCGGAUUUUCUUACAUUCGUCGGAGAGCUCAUUCAAGGAAGUACAAACUCUGGAGUCAACUCCUCAUCCUCUAGGAACAUGAAAGGACGACGAAGAGAAUUGGCUACGUCAAGUAUAACUCCUUUGGCUUUCCCAACUCUAGCAAAAACGCAGUGCACAUCUAGAUGCAACAUCUAUCAACAGGCUGGGACUAUAGUUUCUUGCGGUAUAAUCAUCUCUAUUCGAUAGGCUCUUUAAAAUGGUGAUAUGAUAAUACACAGUCAAUUUAUGUGCAUAAUUAAUUUGAUCACUAGAGAUAAAAGUCUAUUAUUGUUAACAUUCAAAUUAUGGCGUAUAUUGUUUUAUACCUUGAUAUUUUGCUAUCUUAUUUUUCUUGCAAGCCUACAUUGACUUCGUUUUUUUUUAGCCGAGGGUCUAUCGAAAACAGCCUAUCUGCCCCACAAAGGUAGAGUUAAGGUCUGCGUAUAUCCUACUCUUCUCAGAUCUCACUUAUGGGAUUACACUAGGUAUGUUAUUUUUAUUGUUAUUCAAAUUACCGUGUAUACAUUAGGAGCGCCGAUUAGAUUUUUCACUAAUUAAUGGUUCUUAAACCCUUUAAGAAAAUUCCUACACUGAAGAUACCUUCUACAACCAAAAAUUCCUACACUGAAGAUACCUUCUACAACCAAGAAACGUGAAGUCAGUUUUAAAAAAAAUGAAGUUGUAUAACUUUACCAUGAUCAGAUGGAACGAAGUUGUAAUUACUCUUUGUUUGUAAUAAGUAGAGAAUAGGUCCCUUUGAAAAUUGUUAUGACUCAGUAUGUAUGGUUUUUCUUUACUUUGUGCUGUAAACCUGUUCUUUUGUGACCUGCACAAAAUUAAUACUCCAAAUUUAAGUAUAAUCUCCUUAUCUAUUGAUUAGUGUGAAGUUGUAUCUAUGGUUUGUUAUGGGAUACAGAAUUAUAAACCUCGAAUAUUUGACUUUCGGAUUUGCAUUUGUCCUUGAAGUAGGAAGUGCAUAUGCAGCAGGUUGAAAAAGGAAGUUAGGCUCUCUUUGCCAGGAGAACCAUCAGUUGUAGCCUUGUAGGGUUAUAUCAUCAAAACUCCUCUAAAGCCACUAUUACAACCAGUAUAAGAUGGGAACAAGUUAAGAUUCGGUGCAUCAACAACAGUGCAAAGCCAAUGGCGUCAAAAGAAGACGAUAUAAACAUUAUGGACUGCAGAUACUUUCCGCUCUCAUGAGAGGAAAGAAGAUUAUGUUUAUGUUGGUAGAUUUGCUAUUCAGUGUUCUCACAUCUUUUUAUUUGUUUAGAUAGCUAGGUUAUUUUGGAGACAAUUUUGACGAGUGAGCAACGACAGAAAAGUGUAUUUUGUUGUGAUUUACUAUAAUUUUGGAAGCUCUUUUUGUCAGGCGUUAUUAAUAUAUGAUACUUUCAAGUUUAA
RNA transcript from Lycium barbarum (goji berry), 3475 nucleotides. RefSeq lists it as uncharacterized. The record is from RefSeq and is a predicted model, not a curated record. NCBI's taxonomy places the organism in Eukaryota, Viridiplantae, Streptophyta, Magnoliopsida, Solanales, Solanaceae. The transcript has 4 exons.